Molecule: transfer RNA, 72 nt
Filed under: Scarabaeidae sp. BMNH 1274753
Lineage: Eukaryota; Metazoa; Arthropoda; Insecta; Coleoptera; Scarabaeidae
Description: tRNA-Trp
Source: RNAcentral
AAGGAUUUAAGUUAAAUAAAAACUAGAAACCUUCAAAGUUUCAAAUAAAGAAAAAAAUAUCUUUAAACCUUA